UUUAAAAAAAUUGUGCCCCGUCAGCGCCACUUCAGCAGCCACGUCAGCGGCCCAGUCAGCAGCCCUGGCCAACGAGGACCUGCCGCGUGGCAAGGCCACGUCGACCCGGGAACGGGCCACGUGGGCGAUCCGCGUGCGCGCAAUCGGACGGCCUAGAUGCGUCCCCGCGCGCACGGACGGCCCAGAUGCACGUGCACGGACGGCCCAGAUGCACGCACACGGACGGUCCAGAUUCAAUCAAGUAUGGACGGCCCCAGAUUUAAUUGUGAUGGACGGCCCAGAUUUAAUCCAAAUUAAAUCGCGAUCGAACGGUCCAGAUUAAAUCAAGAUGGAUAGCUGUGAU
This 343-nucleotide long non-coding RNA is filed under the name Carica papaya (papaya). Its description in RNAcentral is "long non-coding RNA (CPAP_LNC001648)". Lineage: Eukaryota; Viridiplantae; Streptophyta; Magnoliopsida; Brassicales; Caricaceae. The record is from RNAcentral.